UAGGUGAACAAGCAUAAGUGUACAAGCUUAAGUGUAUUAGCAGGGUAUAGGUGGACUUUGAGUUUAACAAUCUGUGCAUCUUUACAGUAGGGUUAAGCAUGGUAACACUUUCUCUAUUUAAAGUGGAUGUCUAAGCUCUGUGGUUUGCUAGUGUGAUUUUCUAGAGUGUGUUUCUCGCUUGGUGCUUUGUGUAAAUCAUGCUGCGUUAUCUGUAGACAGUGUGUCUAGCUAAGCAUAGUUGGAGUUGGUGCUAGGGCAAAUAGUUACGAGCAUAAGUCUAUGUCCAUG
Pelobates cultripes (western spadefoot toad) is the source of this 288-nucleotide non-coding RNA. NCBI's taxonomy places the organism in Eukaryota, Metazoa, Chordata, Amphibia, Anura, Pelobatidae. The record is from the annotation of a GenBank genome assembly.